RNAcentral lists this non-coding RNA (76 nucleotides) under Saccharopolyspora spinosa. Lineage: Bacteria; Bacillati; Actinomycetota; Actinomycetes; Pseudonocardiales; Pseudonocardiaceae. The record is from RNAcentral.
AGGAGCCCGGUGAAUCGAGAGAUUCACGCCGGGAUCUGUGGGAGCCCGGAGGUGCGAUUCCUCCGGGCGACCCGAC